ACAGUUUGAUCCUGGCUCAGAUUGAACGCUGGCGGCAUGCUUUACACAUGCAAGUCGAACGGUAACAGGGAGCUUGCUCCGCUGACGAGUGGCGAACGGGUGAGUAAUGCAUCGGAACGUACCGUGUAAUGGGGGAUAACGUAGCGAAAGUUACGCUAAUACCGCAUACGCCCUGAGGGGGAAAGCGGGGGCUUCGUAAGAACCUCGCGCAAUUAGAGCGGCCGAUGUCGGAUUAGCUAGUUGGUGGGGUAAAGGCUCACCAAGGCGACGAUCCGUAGCGGGUCUGAGAGGAUGAUCCGCCACACUGGGACUGAGACACGGCCCAGACUCCUACGGGAGGCAGCAGUGGGGAAUUUUGGACAAUGGGCGAAAGCCUGAUCCAGCCAUGCCGCGUGAGUGAAGAAGGCCUUCGGGUUGUAAAGCUCUUUCAGCCGGAAAGAAAUCGCGCAUGCUAAUACUC
This 460-nucleotide ribosomal RNA is filed under the name uncultured bacterium. RNAcentral's name for it is "bacterial SSU rRNA". It matches the Rfam family "Bacterial small subunit ribosomal RNA", at positions 8 to 467 of the family's 1533-position model. The record is from RNAcentral.